UACGAAGGGGGCUAGCGUUGUUCGGAUUUACUGGGCGUAAAGCGCCCGUAGGCGGAUCGUUAAGUCGGGGGUGAAAUCCUGGAGCUCAACUCCAGAACUGCCUUCGAUACUGGCGAUCUCGAAUCCGGAAGAGGUGAGUGGAACUCCUAGUGUAGAGGUGGAAUUCGUAGAUAUUAGGAAGAACACCAGUGGCGAAGGCGACUCACUGGUCCGAUACUGACGCUGAGGUGCGAAAGCGUGGGGAGCAAACAGG
Molecule: ribosomal RNA, 253 nt
Filed under: uncultured bacterium
Lineage: Bacteria
Description: partial 16S ribosomal RNA
Rfam family: Bacterial small subunit ribosomal RNA
Source: RNAcentral